Molecule: ribosomal RNA, 464 nt
Filed under: uncultured bacterium
Lineage: Bacteria
Description: bacterial SSU rRNA
Rfam family: Bacterial small subunit ribosomal RNA
Source: RNAcentral
AUUGAACGCUGGCGGAAUGCUUUACACAUGCAAGUCGAACGGUAGAGGGGGCAACCCCCUUGAGAGUGGCGAACGGGUGAGUAAUAUAUCGGAACGUGCCCAGUCGUGGGGAUAACGUAGCGAAAGUUACGCUAAUACCGCAUACGAUCUAAGGAUGAAAGCGGGGGAUCGCAAGACCUCGCGCGAUUGGAGCGGCCGAUAUCAGAUUAGGUAGUUGGUGAGGUAAAGGCUCACCAAGCCAACGAUCUGUAGCUGGUCUGAGAGGACGACCAGCCACACUGGAACUGAGACACGGUCCAGACUCCUACGGGAGGCAGCAGUGGGGAAUAUUGGACAAUGGGCGAAAGCCUGAUCCAGCAAUGCCGCGUGAGUGAUGAAGGCCUUAGGUUGUAAAGCUCUUUACCCGGGAUGAUAAUGACAGUACCGGGAGAAUAAGCUCCGGCUAACUCCGUGCCAGCAGCGCG